UUGAACGCUGGCGGCAGGCCUAACACAUGCAAGUCGAGCGCGAAAGUUCUUCGGAAUGAGUAAAGCGGCGGACGGGUGAGUAACGCGUGGGAAUCUGCAUAGUAGUGGGGGACAACAGCCGGAAACGGCUGCUAAUACCGCAUACGCCCUAAGGGUGAAAGGGGGGGAUCUUCGGAACCUCCGCCAUUAGAUGCGCUCGCGUCGGAUUAGCUAGUUGGUAGGGUAAAGGCCUACCAAGGCUACGAUCCGUAACUGGUCUGAGAGGAUGAUCAGUCACACUGGAACUGAGACACGGUCCAGACUCCUACGGGAGGCAGCAGUGGGGAAUAUUGGACAAUGGGGGCAACCCUGAUCCAGCCAUGCCGCGUGUGUGAAGAAGGCCUUAGGGUUGUAAAGCACUUUCAGUGGGGAGAAAGGUUUGUCACCUAAUACGUGAUGAAAUUGAUGUUACCCACAGAAGAAGCACCGGCUAACUCCGUGCCAGCCGCCGCAGUAA
Molecule: ribosomal RNA, 496 nt
Filed under: uncultured bacterium
Lineage: Bacteria
Description: partial 16S ribosomal RNA
Rfam family: Bacterial small subunit ribosomal RNA
Source: RNAcentral